RNAcentral lists this ribosomal RNA (465 nucleotides) under uncultured bacterium. RNAcentral describes it as "partial 16S ribosomal RNA". It matches the Rfam family "Bacterial small subunit ribosomal RNA", at positions 28 to 507 of the family's 1533-position model. The record is from RNAcentral.
GACGAACGCUGGCGGCGUGCUUAACACAUGCAAGUCGAACGGAAAGGCCCUGCUUGCAGGGUACUCGAGUGGCGAACGGGUGAGUAACACGUGGGUGAUCUGCCCUGCACUUCGGGAUAAGCCUGGGAAACUGGGUCUAGUACCGGAUAGGAGCCAUUUUUAGUGUGAUGGUUGGAAAGUUUUUUCGGUGUAGGAUGAGCUCGCGGCCUAUCAGCUUGUUGGUGGGGUAAUGGCCUACCAAGGCGGCGACGGGUAGCCGGCCUGAGAGGGUGGACGGCCACAUUGGGACUGAGAUACGGCCCAGACUCCUACGGGAGGCAGCAGUGGGGAAUAUUGCACAAUGGGCGCAAGCCUGAUGCAGCGACGCCGCGUGGGGGAUGACGGCCUUCGGGUUGUAAACUCCUUUCGCUAGGGACGAAGCUUUUUGUGACGGUACCUAGAUAAGAAGCACCGGCUAACUACGUG